This 2765-nucleotide long non-coding RNA is filed under the name Prunus dulcis (almond). The record is from RNAcentral. Lineage: Eukaryota; Viridiplantae; Streptophyta; Magnoliopsida; Rosales; Rosaceae.
AUGGGUAACCCACACCAGUUCAUCAUCUUUUUUCACCGGUAAGCCUUCCAAUUCUCCAUUUUUUUCCUUCAUUAGAUGGACCUUAUGCCACGGAAGUAGCGAUAACUUGGAUUCUAUCUGUCAUAUUAACGGUGUUCGAAAAAUCGGCCUAGGCGUUAGAUUUCAUCCUAAUCGUUAAGGGUAGGCGCCAGGGAGUUAGGCGGCGCCUGGGUGGGUCGGGCGGCUGCUUCUCUACUCUUCUCGAUUUUUCUUUACUUCAAUUAGAUGGACCUUAUGCCAUGGAAGUAGCGAUAAUUUGUUUUAAAAGAAAAUUUGGAUUCUUUCUGUCAUAUUAGGAUGGUUGGAAGACAUCAAUCAAUUAAAAUGAGAGAAUGAAACCAUUGAAUUUUAAAGAUAGGUUUAACUACACUUUUUGGAAUUUGAAGCAGAUGAAACCCCAAUUAAAUUUUUUUUUUUUUUUUUAACUCUUGAGUAUUAAAGAAACUAAAUCUCCCAGUGUUAGAAAUCAAAGGAAAAGAUUGUGUUCCUUUAUCAAAAGAUCUUGUUGGGAAAGGGGAGAAAUCAACGUUUUUGGUAUUUAGUGAAUGUAUAACUGCCAAAAUGAAUAAUAAAAAAUUUGUCUGGUUCUAAGUUUGUAAUGCUUUAUUUGAAUAUCAGAAUUGUAAAGUAUUUGUGGACUUGUGGGAAGUUACUAAUUGAUUUUUUAAUCAGUCAGAAUUUGUGUGGGGACGGGGAGCUAUUGAUUGAAGCGCCUCACACAAAUCAGGUAUGAUCAUAGAGUAGAGAUGUUAUAGAAGUAAUAUUCAUGGCUAGUGGGUGAAGCUCAAAAUUUGGUAUGUAAUCAUAUGGAUGGCAUUUAACUUUAAUGAAAUUCUAUCUAAGAAAGUAAAUUUUCAAGUGUUGGCGUCUUUUUUUCUUGCUAAAGUCUUCCAUAUCUUACCUAUGAUGCCUUGGAUCCAAAUGUGUGGUGUUCUCUCCUCCUCCUUCCCUCUUCUCUAUGUUUUUCAUUAUGAUUGGAAUUAGGCAAUGAAUAGUAUUUCACACUAUGGACCUCUUUAGAACAACUGGUCUGUGUCAUCCAAAUAGUUGUUUUGAUUUGAUUGUACUUGGUGUUUAGGAUUGAGGAUGUUCACGGGAUUUUAGAUGGACAUCUCAUUCAUCCUCCUUGUAGCUCUUCUUUAAUUAAUAAAAUUUGUGUUUUUAAGAAGAAAAAAAAAGGGAUUGCUUAGUUUGAGAUUGUAUGUCUUACCCUUUUCUUUUGGCCUUUACAUCAUUUGCGUUGUAACACUAAGGAAAAUAGGACUGCACCUUGUAAUAGCCAAAUUUUAUUCAAAUAGGAUUGCGACUUCUUAACGUGCAUUCCCCCACCCCACUAGUUUAUUGUUUUCUUUUGUCCCCAAAAAGAAAAUUCUGACAUGCCAUAUUUUGAUAAUUGGUGAAUCAGAGGCAGUUAGCCUUUUGGCCUCUAAUUUAUUUAGUUGUCAUUAUUCUGCUCCUCUUUCCUUAUAAGCUUUAGUUCUUAUUUCUAGGAUAAUGGUUUGGUUUCAAAAUUAUAAUUUCCUGUGCAUUUUACAGACUAUGCUCUAUGAAGGCUUGAAAGAUUUGAGUAUGGGAAGCAAAUUACAAAUUACAAAAUCCAAAUUUUCAUAUUGAUAUUUCUAUUGAGGGAGUCAUGCUUAGAGGAGUGGCUGGUGGUAUGUACCUUGUUUGUACUUUGACCUUCUUUGUUCUAUUGAUAGUUCUAUUAUUGAAUUCAUUAUUUUCUUUUGGGUGAUUAAUACUUGCAUUUUGUUGUCAGGUAUUAGUGCAUAUCUUGUUGUUGGGUAUUUUCUUUCAUUUGGCAGAUAGUGGUCAGCACUCAUAUGAAUUUUGAUCAGAUUGUUGUUUUGUGAUUGUGGAGUAGCUUUUGCUGGUCUAACAGUGUAUAGAAUACUGAUUGUUUGUAUGUCUCACCCUUUUAUUUUUGCCUUUACAUCAUUUGCUUCGUACCACUGGGAAAAUGGGAUUGCAACUCCUAAUAACCAAAAUUUACUCAAUUAGGAUUGCAACUUCUUAACUUGCAUGCACCACACUAUUUUCUUGUUUUACUUUGUCCCAGCAAGGAAAAUUCAGACAUACCAUCUUUUGAUCUUUAGUGUACUUACUGUUACCUGAACAAGGCUUGACAAGUCAGGUGUUCUGCAUUUGAACACUGAUCACAUAGGUGCACAGGCACAAGCACCAUUUAUCUUUUGUAUCAUUCAGGGGUUUCUACAAUCCUAUUGCUGUUUUAUCAAUGCACCCUUGACUACCAUUUUGGUUAAAUGUCAUCGAAUAACAACUCUCGGGGACAAAAUUGAGGGGCUAUUCUCAGAAAAUUAACUUAAGUAAAUUUUGCACUGAUUGUUAUUUCAAACUGACCUUUCAACAUUUUCGGCAAAAAGGGGAAGGGAAAUUCUAUAUAGCAAUUUUCCUUUCAAUCAGGUAUAUUUGAUAUGGGCCUAACAUUCAUGAUUAAACUCUGUAUACAGUAUAUGGUUGUAUUACUCAUUGGCUGACAGUCAGAUGUGAUAGCAAAAGGAUUUUCUCAUUUCAAUCUAAUGUUUGUAGUGAACUUUAGGUACAAUGAAUGGUUGGAUGCAAUUAGUUGCGUAUGGAUGGCUGAAGAUGCACAAGGGAUGUUCGGUAGCAGUCCAGCUUCAGAUCCUACUUUUAUGGUUGUGGAAUUUGUUAGAGACCAUUUCAAAGAAGGAUUAAGAACACGCAUAAAGUUGCUAGCAUGUUAG